Molecule: ribosomal RNA, 405 nt
Filed under: uncultured bacterium
Lineage: Bacteria
Description: bacterial SSU rRNA
Rfam family: Bacterial small subunit ribosomal RNA
Source: RNAcentral
GAUGCAGCGACGCCGCGUGAAGGAAGAAGUAUCUCGGUAUGUAAACUUCUAUCAGCAGGGAAGAAAAUGACGGUACCUGACUAAGAAGCCCCGGCUAACUACGUGCCAGCAGCCGCGGUAAUACGUAGGGGGCAAGCGUUAUCCGGAUUUACUGGGUGUAAAGGGAGCGUAGACGGAAGAGCAAGUCUGAUGUGAAAGGCUGGGGCUUAACCCCAGGACUGCAUUGGAAACUGUUUUUCUAGAGUGCCGGAGAGGUAAGCGGAAUUCCUAGUGUAGCGGUGAAAUGCGUAGAUAUUAGGAGGAACACCAGUGGCGAAGGCGGCUUACUGGACGGUAACUGACGUUGAGGCUCGAAAGCGUGGGGAGCAAACAGGAUUAGAUACCCUGGUAGUCCACGCCGUAAAC